CAGUAGCCGCGGGAAUACGAGGGGGGCAAGCGUUGUUCGGAAUUAUUGGGCGUAAAGGGCGCGUAGGCGGUUUGACAAGUUUUAUGUGAAAUCUUCGGGCUCAACUCGAAGUCUGCAUGGGAAACUGUCGGGCUUGAGUAUGGGAGAGGUGAGUGGAAUUUCCGGUGUAGCGGUGAAAUGCGUAGAUAUCGGAAGGAACACCUGUGGCGAAAGCGGCUCACUGGACCAUAACUGACGCUGAGGCGCGAAAGCUAGGGGAGCAAACAGGAUUAGAUACCCGUGUAGUCCCUGUCUCUUAUAU
RNAcentral lists this ribosomal RNA (301 nucleotides) under uncultured bacterium. RNAcentral's name for it is "partial 16S ribosomal RNA". It matches the Rfam family "Bacterial small subunit ribosomal RNA", at positions 509 to 809 of the family's 1533-position model. The record is from RNAcentral.